CACCACUCCACACUCGCCUUCUUCCCAUCUUUACUCCUACCUGCUUUCGGACAAAUGGGAUCAAAUGGGACCACAAAUAAGCAGGUGCAGAAUAGAAGAACCGCCUUACAUAAUGCCCCGCAGGCCCCCACACCCAACGAAAACGGGUUGAUUAAUUUAUUUCCGUCGCGUUUGCAGAGCUGUCGCUGAGAUGAAAGAAACGAAUGGUCUCUAUCGAAGUCCCAGCCUGCUUCGUGGCUGCACUUUCCCAAAUUAAAACACCUGGAGUUCUUAAACCUCCUGCUCCGAUAUUUUUCUAGAUGAACUAUUGAGACUCCAAACUGGCACAGUUAGUGGCACAUUGUUCCUGUACAAGUAUCAACUCAUGUCCCAAGGACCAGAUGAGUGGAGAUACUUAGGAACAUUUGACUAUCAUGUUCCUCAAGAUAAGUUCUGGAGACAAUGAUUCAGAAUGCAGUUCCACUGCCCUUGAAAAGAUCACAGUAUGGGACGCCU
Molecule: long non-coding RNA, 495 nt
Organism: Canis lupus familiaris (dog)
Lineage: Eukaryota; Metazoa; Chordata; Mammalia; Carnivora; Canidae
Exons: 3
Source: RefSeq, a predicted model, not a curated record